GGGAGAGAGAUGUCAGAAAGAGGGAGGGAGAGUUCAGAAAGAGGGAGGAAGAGGUCAGUGAGAGGUAGGGAGAGGGGGAGAGGUCAGAGAGAGGGAGGGAGAGGUCAGAGAGAGGGAGGAAGAGGUCAGUGAGAGGUAGGGAGAGGGAGGGAGAGGUCAGAGAGAGGGAGGGAGAGGGAGGGAGAGGUCAGUGAGAGGGAGGGAGGGAGAGGGAGAGGUCAGAGAGAGGGAGGGAGAGGUCAUUGAGAGGGAGGGAGAGGGAGGGAGAGUAGACAUUAGUAGAGGGGAGACAGCAGGACAUUAGGAGGGGGAGACAGCAGGACAUUAGGAGGGGGAGAGAGCGGGACAUUAGGAGGGGGAGAGAGCGGGACAUUAGGAGGUGGGGGUGUUGUUCAUGGGUUCCAGAGGCCAGGGAGACCCUUACAGCCAGGAACAGAUGCUGGCGUUAUUCCCCCUGCUCUCUACCCC
Long non-coding RNA from Oncorhynchus tshawytscha (Chinook salmon), 468 nucleotides. NCBI's taxonomy places the organism in Eukaryota, Metazoa, Chordata, Actinopteri, Salmoniformes, Salmonidae. The record is from Ensembl.